This is a long non-coding RNA of Anguilla anguilla (European eel), 1017 nucleotides long. RefSeq lists it as uncharacterized. The record is from RefSeq and is a predicted model, not a curated record. NCBI's taxonomy places the organism in Eukaryota, Metazoa, Chordata, Actinopteri, Anguilliformes, Anguillidae. The transcript is spliced from 3 exons.
CAGACGAGCCACUUGUGUUCGGGCAGAUCGAGGAUUUUGCUCGUGGAUGGGUACAGCCACAGAAACGGGGUGCUCAGGAGCCACCAGAGCGGCUCCAAUGCCCAGAGGGCUGGUGUUGCUACACCUGAGAAUGUUGUUAUUCCCUGUUGAUGUUUCAGCUUGAGAAGGAAUGUAGUCUGACACAAUGGAAUGGCUUCAUAAAGUAGAGUGUUGGAUGAAUGGUAGCUUCAAAGGUCUGUAUUCAGUCUUAAUUUUACCUUAACUUUGACUGGUGCGCUGGAAAAAGUUACACUUUUUCAUCAUAAACUCAGAAAACUAAUGUUUGAUUUCUAGUCAAAAUUAAAUUCAAAUGUUGAAAAAUGUAUUUUUCAAUAAAAUAAAGCUUUACAUUUAAAAAAAUUUUUUUUUAGCAGUAGUCCUGUGUGACACCUUGUUGUGAUGGGAAAUAUCUUAAUAUGUUUCUGCAUUUAUAACAUAUCUCUGUCCCAGUAGCGUGUUGGGUUGUUGGCCCUGCUUUCAAAAUUGGACACUAAAAAAUGUACACAAGGCCUUUGUUAUAUUUCGUUUAUUCGUCAUUUUGAACAUGCUCAUGUGACACCUUGACCUGCAUUCUUGAAACUAGCAGCAUAUCCUCUACUGACUGAUGAACAGGCCUGCUAGUAGAGCACUCCCUUAUGCUGAACAUAUGGUAAAGAUGUACAGUGGUUUUUCACAACCAAAAUAACUGCUCAACUCGGCGUCCCAUGGUUCCGUUUGUCAUGCAUGACCAGGUCAAUUACAUUUACAUUCAGUCAAGUCAUUGAACUUCAGGGUCAUUUUUCAGUCGAUGAACUGGAAGUUCAGUUCAUUUCCUGAAUCUGACGGAACCGAAAUGGCAGGGACGGCCUCGCCGCUGUACGCAGUCGCUAGCGUGUAACGCCCUGGGGAAAAGGCGCAUCGCACAGCGUUGACGCGAGAGAUCGUGGCACUGCGCCGUCGACCGCAGGGCGCGUGUUGACUUGUUGCCGAGAGACGGGG